RNAcentral lists this transfer RNA (74 nucleotides) under Helicobacter fennelliae MRY12-0050. It matches the Rfam family "tRNA". From Rfam's summary of the family: Transfer RNA (tRNA) molecules are approximately 80 nucleotides in length. Their secondary structure includes four short double-helical elements and three loops (D, anti-codon, and T loops). The record is from Rfam by way of RNAcentral. Lineage: Bacteria; Pseudomonadati; Campylobacterota; Epsilonproteobacteria; Campylobacterales; Helicobacteraceae.
GUGGGUGUAGCUCAGUUGGUUAGAGCAUCAGUUUGUGGCACUGAGGGUCGUGGGUUCGAGCCCCAUCUCCCACC